This 1463-nucleotide long non-coding RNA is filed under the name Apis florea (little honeybee). Its description in RNAcentral is "uncharacterized LOC116415105". Lineage: Eukaryota; Metazoa; Arthropoda; Insecta; Hymenoptera; Apidae. The record is from RNAcentral.
ACAAAAUACAUGCAGAAAAAUAGAAAAUACAAAAAAUUUUAUCAAGAUAUUUUUAUAGACAAAUUUGCAAAUUUAAGUAUACAAUAGUCAUUGUAAUUAUUAUAUAUCACCGGUAAAAAAUAAAUAUAGAAAACAAUAUUUUCCAAGAUUUACACUGUCAUCCUUGAGUAAAGACAUCAGAUGAAGAUAUCUCUUCAUCAAUUAAUGAUGGUACUUCUUGUAUAUAUGUAUAGGCCCGUAAAAAAUGAAAUUCAGUUAUAUAAACAAGUAAUAAUACAAUAACAAAUGGAGACCAUUUUACAAGUCUGAUAUAUUCUCGCAUACGAUCAAAAAAUAUUGCCAAAAGUAGAUAAUCCAUGACAGCAUGGAAAUUUAGAAAUUUCCAGCAAAAAGCUAUUAUUGAAAAAGAUGAACUUCUGAAUAUAGUUGUUUGUCUAUCAUAAAGAUGUUCUCUACUAAUCGAUGGUGUUCUAUAAUCAGUCUCAAGAAGAUCCUGGUAUAAAGAUAUAUAUCGAUUCCAGGCGGCACUGGUUCCAGAACUGAAGAUACAGGAAGUUGAGGCAGCUUAUCAUAACCUCCACGUCUACUUGAGUUACGGGCAAGAAAUUGAUAUAGGCCAAUAAUAAAAGCAACACAACCCAAACCAUCACAGAUACCAUCAAUAAUAUAACCAGUUGAACCAAUAUCUGAUCGUUCACCAUUAAUUUUUGCUCUUUUUCUAGCAACAUGUCCAUCUAAAUCAUCCAACCAUGUUCUUGCUUGAAAAAUUAUUACACCUAAGCGUCUAUAAGACAACGAAUCACUUGAUACACAUUUACCAGCUGCCACUGCUAUGAAUAUAUGAAAACAACUGAUUGCAUUUGGUGUCACCCAUAUCCAAGAUCUACUUAUUUGCAAUAAAUCAUCCAUGAUAGCUGCAAGAGGGCUCAGAAGAAAAUGAUUUGGAUGAUCAAGCAUUAAUCCUUUUACAGUCACUGUACAUAAUGGAUUAAAAUCACAAGAAUACAACAAAAGGUCCAUUCCAAGGAAGUAUAAUGUCAAUAAUAUCAAAAUUGUUAGGAAUGACCUGCUCACUAGAGUUGUUGUACCAAACAUUUUUCAUAUAAAUUUGGCACGUAAUUAUAUAUUGGAUGAACCUGUAUAUGUACAUAUAACAAUUGUAUUAUCAUAAUUAACAGUAUUUUGCCCUGCAACGAAGAAUGUUGUGAUAUUCAGAGAUUCUCAGUAUGAUAUGAUCCCACAUGGUUACAUGAAAUCUUACAGAUUUUGAAUGUAUUAUUUCGAUCAAUUGAUGUAUAUCAUAUUAGUAUGUUUUAUGCGAAAAUUCAAAAAGCUUUUUGAGCUUAUUUAAUGUAUUAUUUAUCGAUAUAAUAUGACAUUUUUUUUAAUCAAUUUUUAAUCGCACUAUUGUCACAUAAUUUCUUUUAAUUGUUCAAUAAUAAAAUAACUAAUUAUAAAAAUUU